This is a non-coding RNA of Devosia sp., 73 nucleotides long. Lineage: Bacteria; Pseudomonadati; Pseudomonadota; Alphaproteobacteria; Hyphomicrobiales; Devosiaceae. The record is from Rfam.
GGGGCCAUAGCUCAGCUGGGAGAGCGCCUGCUUUGCAAGCAGGAUGUCGUCGGUUCGAUCCCGUCUGGCUCCA